UGGGGAAUUUUGGACAAUGGGCGAAAGCCUGAUCCAGCAAUGCCGCGUGUGUGAAGAAGGCCUUCGGGUUGUAAAGCACUUUUGUCCGGAAAGAAAUCCUUGGCUCUAAUACAGUCGGGGGAUGACGGUACCGGAAGAAUAAGCACCGGCUAACUACGUGCCAGCAGCCGCGGUAAUACGUAGGGUGCAAGCGUUAAUCGGAAUUACUGGGCGUAAAGCGUGCGCAGGCGGUUUGCUAAGACCGAUGUGAAAUCCCCGGGCUCAACCUGGGAACUGCAUUGGUGACUGGCAGGCUAGAGUAUGGCAGAGGGGGGUAGAAUUCCACGUGUAGCAGUGAAAUGCGUAGAGAUGUGGAGGAAUACCGAUGGCGAAGGCAGCCCCCUGGGCCAAUACUGACGCUCAUGCACGAAAGCGUGGGGAGCAAAACAGGAUUAGAUACCCUGGUAGUCCACGCCCUAAACGAUGUCAACUAGUUGUUGGGGAUUCAUUUCCUUAGUAACGUAGCUAACGCGUGAAGUUGACCGCCUGGGGAGUACGGUCGCGAGAUUAAAACUCAAAGGAAUUGACGGGGUCAUAGCUGUUUCCU
Molecule: ribosomal RNA, 586 nt
Filed under: uncultured bacterium
Lineage: Bacteria
Description: partial 16S ribosomal RNA
Rfam family: Bacterial small subunit ribosomal RNA
Source: RNAcentral